GACGAACGCUGGCGGCGUGCUUAACACAUGCAAGUCGAACGGAAAGGCCCUGCUUUUGUGGGGUGCUCGAGUGGCGAACGGGUGAGUAACACGUGAGUAACCUGCCCUUGACUUUGGGAUAACUUCAGGAAACUGGGGCUAAUACCGGAUAGGAGCUCCUGCUGCAUGGUGGGGGUUGGAAAGUUUCGGCGGUUGGGGAUGGACUCGCGACUUAUCAGCUUGUUGGUGGGGUAGUGGCUUACCAAGGCUUUGACGGGUAGCCGCCCUGAGAGGGUGACCGGCCACAUUGGGACUGAGAUACGGCCCAGACUCCUACGGGAGGCAGCAGUGGGGAAUAUUGCACAAUGGGCGGAAGCCUGAUGCAGCAACGCCGCGUGCGGGAUGACGGCCUUCGGGUUGUAAACCGCUUUCGCCUGUGACGAAGCGUGAGUGACGGUAAUGGGUAAAGAAGCACCGGCUAACUACGUG
RNAcentral lists this ribosomal RNA (468 nucleotides) under uncultured bacterium. RNAcentral describes it as "partial 16S ribosomal RNA". It matches the Rfam family "Bacterial small subunit ribosomal RNA", at positions 28 to 507 of the family's 1533-position model. The record is from RNAcentral.